This 506-nucleotide ribosomal RNA is filed under the name uncultured bacterium. RNAcentral's name for it is "partial 16S ribosomal RNA". It matches the Rfam family "Bacterial small subunit ribosomal RNA", at positions 29 to 523 of the family's 1533-position model. The record is from RNAcentral.
AGUGAACGCUGGCGGUAGGCCUAACACAUGCAAGUCGAACGGCAGCACAGGAGAGCUUGCUCUCUGGGUGGCGAGUGGCGGACGGGUGAGGAAUACAUCGGAAUCUACUCUGUCGUGGGGGAUAACGUAGGGAAACUUACGCUAAUACCGCAUACGACCUACGGGUGAAAGCAGGGGACCUUCGGGCCCUGCGCGAUUGAAUGAGCCGGUGUCGGAUUAGCUAGUUGGCGGGGUAAAGGCCCACCAAGGCGACGAGCCGUGGCUGGUCUGAGAGGAUGAUCAGCCACACUGGAACUGAGACAGGGUCCAGACUCCUACGGGAGGCAGCAGUGGGGAAUAUUGGACAAUGGGCGCAAGCCUGAUCCAGCCAUACCGCGUGGGUGAAGAAGGCCUUCGGGUUGUAAAGCCCUUUUGUUGGGAAAGAAAUCCAGCUGGCUAAUACCCGGUUGGGAUGACGGUACCCAAAGAAUAAGCACCGGCUAACUUCGUGCCAGCAGCCGCCGUAA